RNAcentral lists this ribosomal RNA (460 nucleotides) under uncultured bacterium. RNAcentral's name for it is "partial 16S ribosomal RNA". It matches the Rfam family "Bacterial small subunit ribosomal RNA", at positions 338 to 795 of the family's 1533-position model. The record is from RNAcentral.
CCUACGGGAGGCAGCAGUGAGGAAUAUUGGUCAAUGGACGAGAGUCUGAACCAGCCAAGUAGCGUGAAUGAUGACUGCCCUCUGGGUUGUAAACUUCUUUUAUAUGGGAAUAAAAUGUUCCACGUGUGGGUUUUUGUAUGUACCAUAUGAAUAAGGAUCGGCUAACUCCGUUCCAGCAGCCGCGGUAAUACGGAGGAUCCGAGCGUUAUCCGGAUUUAUUGGGUUUAAAGGGAGCGUAGGUGGAUUGUUAAGUCAGUUGUGAAAGUUUGGGGCUCAACCGUAAAAUUGCAGUUGAGACUGGCAGUCUUGAGUACAGUAGAGGUGGGCGGAAUUCGUGGUGUAGCGGUGAAAUGCUUAGAUAUCACGAAGAAUUCCGAUUGCGAAGGCAGCUCACUGGACUGCAACUGACACUGAGGCUCGAAAGUGUGGGUAGCAAACAGGAUUAGAUACCCGAGUAGUC